UAGCAUAAUGAUACUGUAGAAGUUAGCUCUUAAAUACGGUAAAAUACAUCUUUCCGGAAAAAUCUUGCAUAAUGGGAAAAUAAUGCUUUAAAAUUCAACUCCUUCGGAGUACACAAAAAUUUACAAUUUCCUGGAUUCUUUAAACAAUCUUUCAUUGAUUUUGCAAUCAUUUUAGCUUCAUGCUGAAUCUGAUGAUGAAUCAAGAUUCAAUUGAUUCCUCCAUUAGUAUUGCUCUCCCUCAGUAUUUUCUUUUCAAUGUACUUAGCCAAAAUUUCUCUCACACAUUGUUAGGUGCGGCUAGUUUCCAGGCCUAUAAACAUUACCAGAAAUCAUUGCAAGAACACCUGCCUGCCUUGAAAUGGUGAAACCGAGCACCAUCUCUUAGGAAAAUCUCAACACCCCGUGCCAGCGACAUGUAUUUUGCUGCUGUGUGGCAGUCGGAACAAAUUCUUGUAUUCUUAAUCACUCUGAUAGGUGCAUUACUCUUUGUCUUGAUCAGUCCGUAAGUAAUGGCCAAUUUUUCCGUAUGACUAAGGAGUGCCUUUUCCUUCUCUUCCUCAUCGGUGUUCUGAUACACACAGUUGAUGUCAGGCACGUAUCCUAGUUUCUUCAUUUCAGAAACCAACUGAUACAACUCAAAGUAUAUCUCCCCUUCAUCUUGAUGUGGUUCCCCAGCAGCAGAGAACACAUGAACUGUGUUAUUAAUUUGUACCCAGCUCCAUACUUCCCUGAUUUUUACCUCCUUUUCGGCCAUGAGACCUCUGAUACGCUCCACAUCCUCCCAUCUGUUUGACAUGGCAUACAAGUUCAUCAUCAAAACAUAAUUAGCAGAAUUAUAUGGUUCUAAAUUGAAAAGUUCCUUGGCUGCUAUCUCUGCAAAUUCCAAGUUUGUAUGGAUUCUGCAGGAUCCAAGAAAAGCACCCCAAAUAGUAGCAUCUGGAUUUAGUGGCAUUGUUUGAAUGAAGUCCCAAGCUUCAUCUAGAUAACCGGCUCUUCCAAGAAGAUCUACCAUGCAAGAGUAAUGCUCAAUUGUUGGCUUUAUGCCAUAAUCUUUGCCCAUACUAUCAAAGUAAUCCCAUCCUUCAUCAACUAAACCUGAGUUCUUGCAGGCAGAUAGCAGAGCAGUAAAGGUUAUGGAAUCUGGUAGGACACCUGCCCCUUGCAUUUCACUAAAGAGUGAAAUUGCCUCCAUUCCAAGGCCAUAAAUGGAAAAUCCCAUGAUCAUGCAAUUCCAACAGGCUAAUGUCUUGUUUGUUGUUCUCCUGAAAACUUCAUGGGCACUCUUUAAGUCGCCCGACUUACUGUACAUGUCAAUGAGAGCUGUGGCUAUAUAUACGUCUUCGAUGAAUCCACUUUUUGCACUGAAACAGUGAAUUUCUUUACCAUUCUUUAACAGAGAUAGGCCUCCGCAAGUUCUUAGUAAGCUGGAUAGAGUGGCAGAGUUCGGUUUAAUUCCUUCUUGCUGCAUUUGAACAAAAUACUCCAAGGAUUCCCUGUAAUUACCCUUCUGUGAACAGCCUGAUAUGAGGGCAGUCCAUGAAACCACAUUUGGAGUUAAUCCUGAACUUUUGAUAUCGUGAAUUACAGCCAAAGCUUCCUCACUGUGGCCCCACAUUGAGUACCCAGAAACCAUGCCAUUCCAUGUAACUAAAUCUGGCGUAAUCCCUUCCUCUUCCAUAUUAUUCAACAGUCUUCUUGCAUCAUAAAAAUGGCCCUUGAAUGCAUAGCCUGUUAUUAACGAAUUCCAAGCAACGAUAUUCUUAUUCUUCAUAUUAUUGAAAAUUGCCUGAGAAAUAGUUAAACAAUCAUUCUUCACAUACAUGUCUAACAGUGAAGUUCCCACAUAUACAUCAUAGUCAAGCCCAUUUCUUAUCACAUAACCAUGAAUUUCUUUCCCAAUAUUCAAGAGCCUCAAUUCAGUUGCAGCUUGAAGAACGCUAGUAAUAGAGCACGAAUUUGGUCUAAAACUUGAAGCUUGCAUUUUUUCUAAAAUGGUAAGGACUUCUUUAUACGAGCCAUGAACAGCAUGGCCUGAUAAAAGGCAAUUCCAGGUUAUUAUGUCAGGUUUUACUCCGGACGAUUCCAUCUUAUGAAAAAGAUUCCAAGCAUCAUUCAUGUAACCAAGAGCACUAUAGCUUGAGAUAAUUGAAUUCCAAGAAGACAAGUUACGAUCUUUCAUUGAAUCAAAAACUCUUCUAGCUAGUUUAAGUUUGCCAUUUCUAGAGUACAUACUAAUCAAGGAAUUGCAUAUCGACAAAUUUGAUUCUAAUUUAUGUUUUAUAACAUACCCAUGUAUCUGCUUCCCUUCACUGAGGGCUCCAUGCUUUCCACUGGCUUGUAGAAUCUUCAAAAGUGUAAUUGCAUUGGCUUUUACAAAGAAAAACUGCAUUUCUGUAAACAGUUGUAGAGCAUUAACAAGUCUCUCAUUCUUCAGGUUGACCAUGAUUGCCUCAUUCCACAAGAGAUCAUCCCGAUCUGGCAUCUCAUAAAAUACUUGAUUAGCACUUUCCACACCCCAACAUGCCUCAUAAUAAUUCAAUAGUGCACUCUUCACAUAAGUAUCCAAUUCAAAGCCCAUCUUGAUCAAACUAGCAUGGACUUCCAAACCCAGCCAUAAAUCCAUUAUUCUAGUGCAAAUUUUCAAAAUUACAGUAACAACUCUACUAUCAAAUAUCACUCCUUUAAAAUGCAAUUCUUGAAAAACCUGAAGAAUUUGGAUUGGAUGGCCGCCAUAAGUCUCAAAUUCCUCCAAGAAAGAAUUCCACAUAACGUAAUUCCGUGCAAAACCCACGAAGAAAACCAUUGCAGCAGACCUAAAAUCACCAAGUUCCAAGUAAAAAGUGAUCAAAGUUAUAGCCAUGGAAUCGGAAACCCACAUGUUGCACGUUUUUAUCAUCUGGGCAUGCAUUGCUUUAACCGAAUCGAGAGUUUUGACAUCACUCGGGGUAUCUAAGAAUCGGAGAUUUGGGAAAUGCUUCUGCCAAGGAGGUGCUAGUGAGGCAGAGAGAGAGGUAGUCUCAGAGGAGGUAGAUGUGGAAGCAAGAGAAAGAGUAGCUGGUGAAAGAGUAGUUGGUUUAGGCUUGUGGGUUAGUGGGUUUUGGUUUAGAGGGAGGUUAAAGUGGCGGUGAAAUGGAGAAAGCUUGUCCAUGGUGGUUGUGGAAGUUAAGAGAUGGAAACGAAGUUAAAGUUGCUGGACAGUUCAUAGGGAAUAUAGCAAUGCACAGCUCUUAGUUUGCGCUUGCAAAAGACGAGCAAUUGGUGCUUGGAUUCUUGAUGGAUUGUUGAUAAGAUCUUAUCUGCUUUGGAAGUUGGUUAUGUGGGCCCGCCAGCUCCAAAACGCACCGUGUCAAUUCGCAGUAAUAAAUUGUGUAAUCUUUUUCAUCAGCAAAACUAUAAUCCUUUCUCAGAAUAAACAAUUAUGCUAAUUUACGUUUGAAAACAUAUUAUUGAUCAGACAUAUUUAAGUUUAAAUUUUUAUUUUCUAACCUUAAAAAAAAAAAAAUUAGAUCAGAG
This 3513-nucleotide unclassified non-coding RNA is filed under the name Hevea brasiliensis (rubber tree). The record is from RNAcentral. Lineage: Eukaryota; Viridiplantae; Streptophyta; Magnoliopsida; Malpighiales; Euphorbiaceae.